Molecule: non-coding RNA, 29 nt
Filed under: Mus musculus (house mouse)
Lineage: Eukaryota; Metazoa; Chordata; Mammalia; Rodentia; Muridae
Source: RNAcentral
UUGGUCCCUUCAUAGCUAUCCUCGGCUGC